This is a long non-coding RNA of Betta splendens (Siamese fighting fish), 2436 nucleotides long. RefSeq lists it as uncharacterized. The record is from RefSeq and is a predicted model, not a curated record. NCBI's taxonomy places the organism in Eukaryota, Metazoa, Chordata, Actinopteri, Anabantiformes, Osphronemidae. The transcript has 3 exons.
UUUGAACUGUGUGUAUUUCUAUUGGACGUAUUCUACCUAUUUGCCCAAUUAGAAAGGUGAAGGGGCGGGACAUCACUGUAACCAUGGUAACCUAGCAACCCUUGCAAGGGAAGAGCAAUCAAUGAGUACUGGGGAAGUUAGAAACGUUCGUGAUUAAUUACAUUGGUUUCGUUGGUGAAUGCAAAGCUUAAAAUGGACCUGAUGUAACUUCCAGAAGAAUGAAGGCAGUUCAACAAUGAGAACAGAAGGAGAACAAGUUCAUCCAUCCAUGAUCCUACCUGCCUUUCCACGAGGCGCUGGAGCCCGUUUCAUCCAUCGCUGGAUGAGAGGCGGUACUGGACACGUGGCCUGUCCAUCACAGGACAAACAGCCAUUCACACUCACAUUCACGCCUACGGGCAAUUUCAAGACGCCAAUUAAGCUGACACGGCGUCUUUGAGUGUGGGAGGAGGCUGGAGUGAGAACAUGAACCACUGACUUCCACUGUUCUCGCUCACUUGGAUCCGUGUUCCCUCUAGAACCAUUUGGACACGAUUAAUGGCACCAAAUCAUCUGCCACAGCGUUUGAGCCAAAUCUGCUGUGAAGUUUAGUCUCUGCAGGUCUGGGAAGCUCCACAGAGGCUCCACAGAGUGAGCGAAGGGUCAGAGGUGACGAGACCAGCGCUUUGCCUCGCAGAGCGAGUCUGUACCAAACAGACACAAUACAAAACAGGCUGCGUGUGAGCAGAUGGAGCGUGAGUUCGUCUGAAGUGUUCAGAGACGGGCGAGAUAAUAGCCCACAGCUAAUCCACUGCACACUGAAAACUCAUUACUCCUUAGGAAGGAAACAAAGGAACGCGUGCUCCCCACGAUGCUAAGAAAUACGCUGCUUAAGGUGCUUAAAACCUUGGCACAAACCUCCUGCUUUUCCUCGUGUGUGAAAUUUCUUUUGUGCUCAGUUCAGCGGAUUUGACUUGUCGUCUCUAUUGACGUGCUGCUACACGUAUGAGGCCGGCAGAGGGCAUCUGCUGCUCCCCAGGGGGUCAGGACGCCCACGAAGCCUCUCGCCAACAGGAGCGAACCAGCUACGCCCACGCAACCGGAAGUGUCCGUGAGCAAACAUGAGAAUAAACAGGCGCGACCCCCUGCUGUGUCGUCACCCAGUGAGAAGCAACUGGCCACCUUCAUCCGAGGACCCUGCACUAGAAUCCAGUGUCUCGACUCAGGAGGAGAGGAUUCUUGUGAGGAUGUAAUGAGUCGGCUGUUUCUACUUGAUGAAGUCAAAAGCACAAAGAGCUUCAUGUCCCACUAAUUAAAGGGGUUGUUUGGCAUCGUCUGGUGCUGCGGCGUGUCAUGACGUCACAUGUGGAGGGAGUACGGCGACAGGCUACAUCAGUCAAGCCUCACGGUUAUUAAUAAGCGGUCACAUCUCCUGUUUACAGUGACCCGUUACUGGAACCUGCAGCGGCUCCUGUCGCCGCGGCUCCGUCCCACUGCUCCAAUAAGGCUCCAGUUGCUACAUCAGACAGUGAAUCUGUGAUCGCAUUCUCUGCCCCCACACGAGCUGCAGCAGCAGUUCACUGCAAAUGUGAUUAGAAUUGUUUCCAGCCCAGUCAGACCACACCCAUACGUCUGUGGAGCAGGAGGACAAGUUCAAAACAACAGUGUUGGGUUGCGGCUCACGCCCUGCGUGGAUGUGAACCACACACAUGCGCUCCUGUGCUUCACUGCCUCCUUCAGCAGCCUGCGUUGUGUGAAAGUCAUUUAGGUCCGUUCCACUUCCACUGCUCACACAUGUUGGCUUUUUUCCACAACUCAUUACACUGUUAUGAUCGUUUCAUGUCCGGGGAGUCGUUGCAACACAAGCAAUUAGAAAAUCCUUCACCUGUGCGCGAGCUGAAUGAAAUCACUGAAGAUUGGAUUUAGCCUGAUUACCUUUCCUCCUUCAGGUGGAAAAUGUGCGCUCAGCAUUUUAAGUCACUGCAGCAUCCAGCCAAGAGGCAGCGCCACAGUCAGACUAAUGGUGGGACGGAGCCCCGGGCAGCGCUGCUUUAAUAGCUGCCUGAAAGCAGGACGCACUCAGACGAACACGAAAUGACCUUUCGGCCACGAAGGUUCAAUAUACGUUACAAAUCCUGCCUGUUGCAAUAAGCUGUGCUCCUGAAUCACAGAUGAUGCACAGGGACCAGCAGCAGAUGGAAAUAAAACACCAAGAGGGGACGCAGAUCCAGUGAGACAAAGACCUUUGUGGUGAAGCUGAAGACGCAUGCGACAGAAAAGUUUGGAGCGACAAAGAAAAGCAGGCUGGACUCACCUCCCAACGCUUGCUUCAUAACGAAAUUCAUGCUGAUGGCUUGUAAUUCCCUGCCUUCCUCAGUGAAGCGAUGUUACAUUCAGUAAGUGGGUUCUAUGAGCUCGUUGUUGCCAGGUCUGGAGGAGAAAUGACAAAAAACAGAA